AGCAGCCGCGGUAAUUCCAGCUCCAAUAGCGUAUAUUAAAGUUGUUGCAGUUAAAAAGCUCGUAGUUGAAUUUUAGGCCUGGCCGGGCGGUCCGUCUUUGGCGAGUACUGUCCUGUGUCGGGUCUUCCUUCUGGUGAACCAGUAUGUCCUUUAUUGGGUGUGCCGGGGAGCCAGGACCAUUACCUUGAAAAAUUAGAGUGUUUAAAGCGGGCAUUUGCUUGAAUAGAUUAGCAUGGAAUAAUAGAAUAGGACGUUGUGGUUCUAUUUUGUUGGUUUCUAGGACCACCGUAAUGAUUAAUAGGGAUAGUUGGGGGCAUUAGUAUUCAAUUGUCAGAGGUGAAAUUCUUGGAUUUAUUGAAGACUAACUAUUGCGAAAGCAUUUGCCAAGGAUGUUUUCAUUAAUCAAGAACGAAAGUUAGGGGAUCGAAGACGAUCAGAUACCGUCGUAGUCUUAACCAUAAAACUAUGCCGACUAGGAAUCGGGCGACGUUAUUUUCAUGACUCGCUCGGCGCCUUAUGG
Molecule: ribosomal RNA, 520 nt
Filed under: uncultured Archaeospora
Lineage: Eukaryota; Fungi; Glomeromycota; Glomeromycetes; Archaeosporales; Archaeosporaceae
Description: SSU rRNA
Rfam family: Eukaryotic small subunit ribosomal RNA
Source: RNAcentral